Molecule: transfer RNA, 83 nt
Filed under: Micrococcales bacterium
Lineage: Bacteria; Bacillati; Actinomycetota; Actinomycetes; Micrococcales
Also listed under: 1 other name
Description: tRNA-Leu
Rfam family: tRNA
About the family: Transfer RNA (tRNA) molecules are approximately 80 nucleotides in length. Their secondary structure includes four short double-helical elements and three loops (D, anti-codon, and T loops).
Source: RNAcentral
GUCCGGGUGGCGGAAUGGUAGACGCGCUAGCUUGAGGUGCUAGUCCUCGCAAGGGGGUAGGGGUUCAAGUCCCCUUUCGGACA